This 372-nucleotide ribosomal RNA is filed under the name uncultured bacterium. Its description in RNAcentral is "bacterial SSU rRNA". It matches the Rfam family "Bacterial small subunit ribosomal RNA", at positions 527 to 898 of the family's 1533-position model. The record is from RNAcentral.
GAAGGGGGCUAGCGUUGUUCGGAAUUACUGGGCGUAAAGGGCGCGUAGGCGGUGUGUCAAGUCAGGCGUGAAAGCCCCGGGCUCAACCUGGGAACGGCGCUUGAGACUGGCACGCUCGAGUUCGGGAGAGGAUGGUGGAAUUCCCAGUGUAGAGGUGAAAUUCGUAGAUAUUGGGAAGAACACCGAUGGCGAAGGCAGCCAUCUGGACCGACACUGACGCUGAGGCGCGAAAGCGUGGGGAGCAAACAGGAUUAGAUACCCUGGUAGUCCACGCCGUAAACGAUGAGUGCUAGACGUCGGGGCUCCUGGAGCUUCGGUGUCGCAGCCAACGCCUUAAGCACUCCGCCUGGGGAGUACGGCCGCAAGGUUAAA